AUGUUAGGUUUUGGCUUCUAUCUUCCAUCACAAGACUCUACCUUCCCCAUCCCUAGAUUGCCUCCUGAAACAUCUUCAUCAUCAAGGUACAUCUAUCUUGGAUUGUGUAACAGUGAAAUAAAAGCUGCAAGGAUGCUUGCGUCAAGUUAAUUGUCCAUUAGGCAACACUUCCGAUGAUACGAGAACAAGGGUUAAGCACUGCACACGUAUGACACGAGGAACUCAGACGCCUCAGGCCCACCCUCUCAACCUGAGUGGUGUUGUGGCUUUGGUUUUCAUCCUGUUGACCAGGGACAACAAUAGAGAAGAUUUUGGGAUCUACUCCACAUUGGGCAUGGCAUGUUUUUGUCCACAUGCAGCUUCUAACUUCAUUGCUGUCAUAGAAUCAUUAGUAUUGGUGGAACAGACCCAUCAGGUCAUUGAUCAUUAUUUAAGAAAGGUAUUCGCAAACUGGAGUUUGUAGUGUUGUUUUCGGAAGCAGGUUCAGAAGCCAAGUUUUUGGUCACCAUCCUGUAUCCAGGUUAGAAUCAUUAGAUUCUAGAGACAGCUAUCAUGGUCUGGUUUUUGGUCAUGUUGUCAAGGUUAGAGGCUGUUUGGAUUGUGUUUUCGAACUGAUGUUCUUUUUAGCUUUCAGUCUUUGGAUAAGGGAUUGGAUAGUGUUUAAUGAUCCUUUAUCGCACUAUCUCCUAAGGUGACAUCAGCUUUGUUGCGCUUUCAAAUAUGCAUAAUGGAUUCAUUUGUUAAUUCUGUAAGCAUCCA
RNAcentral lists this long non-coding RNA (759 nucleotides) under Helianthus annuus (common sunflower). Lineage: Eukaryota; Viridiplantae; Streptophyta; Magnoliopsida; Asterales; Asteraceae. The record is from RNAcentral.